AGUGAACGCUGGCGGUAGGCCUAACACAUGCAAGUCGAACGGCAGCACAGUAAGAGCUUGCUCUUACGGGUGGCGAGUGGCGGACGGGUGAGGAAUACAUCGGAAUCUACUUUUUCGUGGGGGAUAACGUAGGGAAACUUACGCUAAUACCGCAUACGACCUACGGGUGAAAGCAGGGGAUCUUCGGACCUUGCGCGAUUGAAUGAGCCGAUGUCGGAUUAGCUAGUUGGCGGGGUAAAGGCCCACCAAGGCGACGAUCCGUAGCUGGUCUGAGAGGAUGAUCAGCCACACUGGAACUGAGACACGGUCCAGACUCCUACGGGAGGCAGCAGUGGGGAAUAUUGGAAAAUGGGCGGAAGCCUGAUCCAGCCAUACCGCGUGGGUGAAGAAGGCCUUCGGGUUGUAAAGCCCUUUUGUUGGGAAAGAAAAGCAGCAGGUUAAAACCCCGCUGUUCUGACGGUACCCAAAGAAUAAGCACCGGCUAACUUCGUG
RNAcentral lists this ribosomal RNA (492 nucleotides) under uncultured bacterium. RNAcentral describes it as "partial 16S ribosomal RNA". It matches the Rfam family "Bacterial small subunit ribosomal RNA", at positions 29 to 507 of the family's 1533-position model. The record is from RNAcentral.